GGCUAGGCAAGCAUGGCGUUGGUUGUCCAUGUGAAAGUAAGUAGGUUGAGAACUUAGGCAAAUCCGGGUUCUUAAGACUGAGAUACGAGACGAGUCACUACGGUGAUGAAGUUGUUGAUGCCAUACUUCCAGGAAAAUCCUCUAAGCUUCAGUUCAUGCUGAAUCGUACCCCAAACCGACACAGGUGGUCAGGUAGAGAAUACUAAGGCGCUUGAGAGAACUCGGGUGAAGGAACUAGGCAAAAUAGUACCGUAACUUCGGGAGAAGGUACGCUGCUGACGGUGAUAGGACUUGCUCCUUAAGCUGUUGGCAGUCACAGUAACCAGGUGGCUGGGACUGUUUAUUAAAAACACAGCACUGUGCAAAAUCGAAAGAUGACGUAUACGGUGUGACACCUGCCCGGUGCCGGAAGGUUAAUUGAUGGGGUUAUCUUCGGAGAAGCUCUUGAUCGAAGCCCCGGUAAACGGCGGCCGUAACUAUAACGGUCCUAAGGUAGCGAAAUUCCUUGUCGGGUAAGUUCCGACCUGCACGAAUGGUGUAACCAUGGCCACGCUGUCUCCACCCGAGACUCAGUGAAAUUGAAAUCGCAGUGAAGAUGCUGUGUACCCGCGGCUAGACGGAAAGACCCCGUGAACCUUUACUACAGCUUGGCACUGAACAUUGAACCUACAUGUGUAGGAUAGGUGGGAGACUUUGAAGCAGCGACGCUAGUUGUUGUGGAGUCGUCCUUGAAAUACCACCCUUGUAGUUUUGAUGUUCUAACGUAGGCCCCUAAUCGGGGUUGCGGACAGUGCCUGGUGGGUAGUUUGACUGGGGCGGUCUCCUCCCAAAGAGUAACGGAGGAGCACGAAGGUUUGCUAAGUACGGUCGGACAUCGUACGGUUAGUGUAAUGGUAGAAGCAAGCUUAACUGCGAGACGGACAAGUCGAGCAGGUACGAAAGUAGGUCAUAGUGAUCCGGUGGUUCUGAAUGGAAGGGCCAUCGCUCAACGGAUAAAAGGUACUCCGGGGAUAACAGGCUGAUACCGCCCAAGAGUUCAUAUCGACGGCGGUGUUUGGCACCUCGAUGUCGGCUCAUCACAUCCUGGGGCUGAAGUCGGUCCCAAGGGUAUGGCUGUUCGCCAUUUAAAGUGGUACGCGAGCUGGGUUUAGAACGUCGUGAGACAGUUCGGUCCCUAUCUGCCGUGGGCGUUUGAGAAUUGAGAGGGGCUGCUCCUAGUACGAGAGGACCGGAGUGGACGAACCGCUGGUGUUCGGGUUGUGAUGCCAAUCGCAUUGCCCGGUAGCUACGUUCGGAAUCGAUAAGCGCUGAAAGCAUCUAAGCGCGAAGCGAGCCUCGAGAUGAGUUCUCACUUGGAGUUUAACUCCACURAAGGGCCGUUGGAGACUACAACGUUGAUAGGUAGGGUGUGGAAGCGCUGUGAGGCGUUAAGCUAACCUAUACUAAUUACCCGUGAGGCUUAACCAUACAACGCCAAAGUGGUUU
This 1485-nucleotide ribosomal RNA is filed under the name Pseudoalteromonas ulvae. RNAcentral's name for it is "bacterial LSU rRNA". It matches the Rfam family "Bacterial large subunit ribosomal RNA", at positions 1481 to 2925 of the family's 2925-position model. Lineage: Bacteria; Pseudomonadati; Pseudomonadota; Gammaproteobacteria; Alteromonadales; Pseudoalteromonadaceae. The record is from RNAcentral.